This 158-nucleotide non-coding RNA is filed under the name Calothrix sp. Lineage: Bacteria; Bacillati; Cyanobacteriota; Cyanophyceae; Nostocales; Calotrichaceae. RNAcentral also lists the same sequence under 1 other name. The record is from RNAcentral.
AGCAUUCACCUUAAUCUCGGUUCUAGUGAGUAUCAUCCACUAGAGGUAACGGGGAAAGUCCGGUGUAAGUCCGGCGCUGUCCCGCAGCUGUAAUCAAGGAAAAAAAGAAAAAUAUUAACCUUGUCAGUCAGAAUGCCCGCCGAUAAGUCAAAACAACC